Molecule: long non-coding RNA, 4692 nt
Filed under: Sus scrofa (pig)
Lineage: Eukaryota; Metazoa; Chordata; Mammalia; Artiodactyla; Suidae
Description: lncRNA (ENSSSCG00000062088.1)
Source: RNAcentral
UAGGACUUUAUUUAAUUUUGAAAAAAGUUCAUCUAGCAGUUUUAAGUGAUCAUAGCAGGAGGAUUAGUCCUAACAAACCAACUUUUUCAGAGGUGCCCCAUUUUCUUUUGAACCCAUUUAGAUCAGUAAUACGCCUGUUUGUACUCUUAUUUUUCACCCUUUCCCCACUCUGGUGUAAACUACCUGGGGACUAACACCUGUAAGCUGUAUUCUCCAGGAUCCCUGUCAGCUUGCUUCUCACUGGAGUUAGCCAGUGAGAAACAUUAAUGGGAAGGUGAGCGGAUAGGAGAAACUAUAUUUUCCCUCCGCUUUCCUUUUCUCAGACAGCCUUUCCAGUAUCAGUGUCCUCUAGCUGUGUUCCCUCAUAGCUCUAGUUUCCACCACACAGUGCUUCCUUCUUUGGCCCUAGGCAGUUCCUGUAGUGGUUUUAGCCCCUGCUGGAUUAGACUGGUGUCUGGGCUCUGGUAAUACACUGCCUUCUAUUAUUCCUUCAGUUCUAGGGGUGGGAGUACCUGCCUCUCAUUGCUAAUCUUUAUGUUGCCUUACUGUCCUCCAUUAGUUUUCAUAGCUUAUCUAUUACCAGUCUCCUAUAUUAAAUUUUCUUUAUUUGAAAUACUUAGAAUAAUUGUUUUCUGACUGUACCCUCACUGGUUCACCACUGGAAUUAUUCCUUUGCCUGCAGUACUCCACUGAAACUCCCAAGAAACUGACUGUACAAAUAGACAGUAGCCACAUCAUUUUUGAAAAAUAGAACUCCAACUCACAACUUCUGUAGCCAGUCUAGAUAGCCAAACCAUAACUUUUGCGGCAGUUGGCCCAAAUGUGUUAGGACUUGGUCAAUGACUGCCAGCUUCCCUAAUUUAUGUCUCUUUUUUCCAACUUAGACCAACCAGAGAAAGCCAAAUAUGAUCAUCAAACCAACCAUGUAAGAUGGUUCUCUUAUAGCUAGCCCACCUCUACCUUCCCCAUGCUCACAAUGUCCAACCAAAACAAUACUGAAUCCUCUCCUUUUUUCCCCCAUUAUAAAGCUUUCUAACUCUUCUGUGAGCUUUUGAGUAUCUGAAAAGUGCAGGUGAUAGUGGCUGAUUGAGUUGCCAUUGAUAGCUCUGAAUAAAUAGCCUCUGUUUGUUCUCAUUUGAGUAGUUUUCAUUUAUUUUUGCACUUCUCUUUCCAAAGUUACUAGUGUCAUCUACCUUGCCAAACUCAUUCAGUACCCAGUUUUCAGUCCUUGUAUUUUUGAGCCAUCAUUAUGUGAUACAGUUGAAUAUCUUACAUCCCUACAAUUUAGAACACUUUUCUUUGGCUCUGGGAUAUCACACUCCCUUGGUUUUCUUGCUAGCCAUUGGCUAUUCCUUCUCAGUCUCCUUUGCUCGUCCAUCCUAGUUUUACUAGACUUCUAAGCAUUGGACUGUCCCAAGGCUUGGUUCUCAGAACUAUAUAUUUGCCUUUCUGGCUCCACCCUCUACUUUUCUCUACAUUGUUCUUUGGCCACAAGGCUCAUCUAUUUGGAUAACAGAACCCAGCUCCCUUACAGUCUUGUUUCUAGCUGGCACAGUAUGCUAUCCAGAGGAUGGUAAAGAUAUUUAUUCCUUUAGCUAAGCAGGUCCUUGUGGGUUAGUUGUGGCGCUAGUCCAAAGGUCACAGCUCCUGUCAAGAGGCCCUUUCCACAUGACUCUUUGAAUUCUGUUAACCACUUCUUUUUUGGCCCAGGUUGGUAUAGGUUCCCAGCCUGGAUAACUGCUACCAAUCUACCCCAAAUGAGACUACCUAAUUAGCAUAAUAAAUAAGGAUAGCCCAGCAGUUAUCUAUGGAGCAGAUCAUUUAGCUUUUCCCUAAUUUUUCUCAGUAUGUAAAGAAUAUUUAAGAACUGUUGAGCAGGGAAGAGUAUGAGAAGGCAAGAAUAUCAUUAUAAAUCUUGACAUUUUUAUAUAUAAUCCAGGGCUUAUUCAUAGAGGAAAAAGAUACAGUUUAAGGAGGAAAACACCUAAAUCAUAGGAGCAUUAUCUCAGCUUCACACCUCACACAGACCUUUACAGAACAGUGAUGCAGACAGAAUCAAAUGAUGAUCUCCAAAGUCAAAAUCUUCUGCUACACUGUUGUCUGAAUCUUCUAUAAACAAGGUGGCUUCGGAGUUCCCGUCAUGGCGCAGUGGUUAACGAAUCCGACUAGGAACCAUGAGGUUGCAGGUUUGAUACCUGGCCUCGCUCAGUGGGUUAAGGAUCUGGCGUUGCCAUGGGCUGUGGUGUAGGUUGCAGAUGUGGCUUGGAUCUGGCAUUGCUGUGGCUAUGGUGUAGGCUGGCGGCUACAGCUCCAAUUCAACCCCAAGCCUGGGAACCUCCAUAUGCCAUGGGAGUGGCCCUAGAAAAAGCAAAAAGACAAAAAACAAAACAAUGAAACAAAAACAAACAAACAAACAAAACAAGGUGGCUUAUUAUUGUUUCCCUGUUUCUUUUCUCAUUUGCCUUGGAUCUGUCCUCUCAUAAAUAAUUUACAUUUUAUAAGUACUGGAAAGGAAUGUGGUGAGGACACUACCUGAGAAACUAAUCAAAAUUGCAAUACCACUAGCAUGUAUAAGGAUUUUCAUCAAAUAAUGAAAAUAUGAUUUUAUAGUUUGUAUUGAAUAGCAUUUUGAAAGUCUCGAGUGUAAUGUUUUACUUUAUACAUUCCUUUGGAUUCUAGGGUUUUCUUUAAGUACUCUUUAGAGAUUCUUCUAUAAAAAGGAAAUUGAAGCCCUUUUCAUUAUUGAUAUUGAAGAACUGAACAGUUUCGACUUACAGAACUUCAUUUAUUAUAAGAUUAUAUCUGAGAAAUAUGUUUUGUACCAGUAGUUUAUCUAAAUGGUAAAAAAAUUGUUAGGGUGUGUGAAGAGUGAACCUUUCCCAAAGAGGGGUCUGACUUGCCCUUGGUUACUGGGAGGUGAUCUCCAGUUUCCUGAAGUAUCCUGCAGGAUAGGAUUGUCUUUGUUUGCGCAUGGCCUAUGGCUACCAAAGAGUUUACUACUGUGACUUAUGACUUAUGAUAGAGGCCUUGGGCCACGUAGUCUCAGUUUGGACCUCCAAAGAAACUGAUGACUGAGGAUAAUAGUCCAGCCUCCAGAGGGACUAGAGACUAAAGAUCAGUUCUUGGACUGUAUGAGAUCAAGCCCCAAUAAAAUCUGGACAUUAGAGGCUUGGGUGAGUUUCCCUUUGUAUAUACGUGUGUAUGGGAGAGGCCCUUAUAAGCUUCUCAUUUGGACCCCUCCUGGACUCUGCCCAAUGUGUCUCUUCAUUUGGCUAAUUUUAACCCAUAGCCUUUACCUAUAAUAAUUUAUGAGUAUGACAAUUUUCAGUGAAUUCUGUGUAUCCUUCCACCUUAUUUUGAACCUGAGAGUGGAACCCCCAGAAUUGCAGAAAUUGAAAGUGGUUUUGUGGAGGACUUUGUCCCCUUUAACUACAUAUUUGGCUAAACUAAUUUCAGGUUGUAACCAGGGAAUGGAAUUUCAUCUCCCUUAUACCAUUCUGGUAUCAUUAUGGUCCCUCAAAUGAUAAAAAAUAUGACAAAAAGAAGUCUUCUUGUUAACUUCUUCCCCCACAACCUUGGAACUUAAUGGGACAAUUUAAAAACCUAAAAAAAAAACUGAUUUUAUUCCUUUAUAAAAAUUCUUAUAUUUCUUCUAUUAUCCCAGGCCAUCACCUUUACUUGAUUGCGAGUGGUUGAAAACAUUAGUUUGUAUUAAAAGAUACACAUUUAUAAUGGGGUAAAGUGUAAAAUUGUUAUACAUUGUUGAAGAUUUUAAAGAAAUGUGAACUUUGGCAGACCGCAUUAAAGUGUAUUUUUUUUUCCUUUUUCUGUCUUUAGAGGCAUUUUGAUUGGAAAAAAAGUCGAAGAAUUAGGGUAAGGCUUAUAUUACAGUCAGCUUCUUAGAAUCCUCUGUGAUCCCUUUCUUUCCUAUGGCCCCAGUCUGGUCCUAUUUAGCUCUACCCAAUAGUAGGGAGCAACAGCAAACAUGUCUUCAUUGGGCAUCAGUGACAGAACUUCCCUUAUAUUCUCAUCAGUGACAGAGAUAUUCUCAGAGGAAGCCUGACCAGGAAAGAAGAAAAAUGAUGUUGGCCACAAGCAAACCAAGAGGACAUGUCACAAGUGAGAUACUCUCUACAGUGCCACAGCUUUAUUUGGCUAAUAGGCUAGAGUGCCCAUGUAGGGAGGGGAAGGACAGGGUAAUAAGGGGACCAGAGAAGUAUCUAUUAUUUAUUGACAUUGUUGUUGUUGUGUUGUAUAAAUUCUGUUAUUUUUAUCUCUGGCCUGGUGUGGCCUUGGAAACACAGGUUAUAUUAAAAUUACCCCUGUUCAAAUAAAGGAUGGAUAGAAAUAUUGCCAGUGAGAAAUGUUAUCACUUUAUAUUUUCAUGAAAAUAUCUAUUUACCGCAUAAGUGACAGGUUGAAGCUAGAAAAAAAUAUCUAGGAUGAAAACUUUAACUUUGCAUUAAGACUAUGAAAAUACGUUAUUCCCCAGAAAUGGUUUUCACAGCUCUUGUCAUUGACUUAAAUCUCUUUCCCUGUGGGUUGGAAAGAUUAAAACUGUUGGCAUACAACUGAACAAUAGCUAUAUUUGUGCCUUAACCAAUUUCUUACAUUUGCUUGCUUGACAGUUAGCAUUUACUGUGACUGAAUGUCAUUUCCUUAAUAAAAAUGCACUUACCUUUUUCGACAUGU